AACACAUACAGUCUGAAACGAUUACACUGCGGUAUAACGAAGAUCAUCGGGAUACACACCGCGGUAAAAUGAAGAGCAUUGGGAUCACGUGAAUCUGCACAUGCAGCAUGCCGUGUCAUGCUCAACAUCCGGGUACCUCGGCCGCAUGGUCUCAUCAGUUGACUGAAAGAUACGGUAACGAACAUGUCUGACGGCCGAUCCUAUCUGUGUUACACAGAAGAUGUGUCUAAAACUAACCAGGGAGGAAUGACCCAGAGGAAGCUUAAACCUAAAGUAGUUCCAGCCUACGAAAAUGAUGAUUCAACGAGAUGUUACGUCCGACUUUACCAAAAGUACAAGUCGCUGUGUCUCCCUUCCAAAAAGGAUGCGUUCUAUUUCACGCCGGUGAAGAGGCCGAAGAAUGAUAGUGUGGUACCUGGAUGUUCCGGUGGGACAUAAUACUUUGCAGAACACUAUGAAAAGAAUAUGCAGUGAGGGAGGCAUAGAAGGUCGUAAGACGAACCAUUCUCUUAGAGCAACUGCAGCGACGAGGUUGUUUCAGACAAAUGUUGAACAACUUAUUUGUGAACACACUGGUCAUAUGAGCAAAGCUGUACAGCGAACCUACAAAAGAAGCAAUGACGCCAAGAAGGCCCUUGUUUCCGACAUAGUUGCAAAGAAUCCCAGAAUUUCUGCUGAUCCCCAAAACUGCACCACCACCACCACCACGAAAACUGAGAAGUUGACUGCAUCGGAAUCUGCUACCAAACCCACUGCAGAGAGAAUACAACAGGGUUGGAUGCUCAUCUCGAGCGUGGAAACAUUUCCGUUACCUUCAAUUUUCACUAAAUUACGUGUUCAAUGACUAUUCAGAAAUAAAGUGGCCAAGUUUG
RNA transcript from Haliotis rubra (blacklip abalone), 872 nucleotides. RefSeq lists it as uncharacterized. The transcript has 3 exons. NCBI's taxonomy places the organism in Eukaryota, Metazoa, Mollusca, Gastropoda, Lepetellida, Haliotidae. The record is from RefSeq and is a predicted model, not a curated record.